Oryctolagus cuniculus (rabbit) is the source of this 1151-nucleotide non-coding RNA. The record is from RefSeq and is a predicted model, not a curated record. Lineage: Eukaryota; Metazoa; Chordata; Mammalia; Lagomorpha; Leporidae.
GGCGCGGCCAGAGGGGGCGCGUGUGCUCCUCCCACGCACCCCGGGGCCGCCCCACCUCCCGCCCUGCCUUCCAGGGAGGACGCGAACUCCGCGGGGAAGGGGCGUCGCCUGCGGCCGGGGCUCCCUGGAGGCCCGAGGUGAAGGUGGAGGGAUGAGGACGCAGCCUCGGUGGCCAUGGAAACCCAGGAGGGCGACUCCGGUGCUAGAGAGAAGAUAGCCCGAGGCCGCGCUGCAGCCGGCCGCGCGCCUGCAGGGGCAGCCAGCCCGGGCCCCGGGCCUGGGUUCGCGGUGCGGUGCGGGCGCGCGGGCUGCCAGGCCGCUCCCGGGGACCCUCCCCCGGCCGCUCCGGCGCCCAGCCGAAUCCUCUUACCUUAAUAGGCAAGAACUGCGAGAAGGCGGCUUCUCGCAGCGGCUCCCCCGCCCCGGCGGCCGGUGCAGGGGUGGUGGACUCCCCGCGUCCGGGCUGGAUUCGCCGACGGGAGAGCUGGAAAGCCGUUCAGAUUCGGUCAUGCGUAGCAGCCAGCCCCAGGGGUGCAGCAAGGAGGGGACAGCCAGGCCUGGUGCUGGUGGUGAACCCAGAUCUUACAGAGCAUCAUGGGGGCUGGAGCCGUGCUAUAGCCACCAUCAGUAGCGCUGGUGUUCCAUAUGGGCACCGGUUUGAGUUCCGGCUCCUCCACUUCUGAUCCAGCUCUCUGCUAUGGUCUGGGAAAGCAGUGGAAGAUGGCCCAAGUCCUUGGGCCCCUGCACCCAUGUGGGAGACCCAGAAGAAGCUCCUGGCUCCUGGCUUCAGAUUGGUGCAGCUCCAGCUGUUGUGGCCAUUUGGGGAAUGAACUAGCGGAUGGAGGAAGGACCUCUUUCUCUCUCUCUGACUUUGCCUCUCUGUAACUCUGCCUUUCAAAUAAAUAAAUAAAUAAAAAUAAAAAAGAACAUCAUUGUCAGAAAAUUCUCUUGUAACUCUUCUCUGUCAGUCUGUACCUCCUCCCCUCCCAGAGAAAAUAUUGUUCCUGUUUUCUCUCCCUAUAAUUUUCCCUGUUUUAGAAUUUUCGUAUAGAUGGAAGUGUAAAUUUUGUAUAAAUUUACCUUUUAAGAAGUUGCCAUAUAAAAUUAUUAAUUAUAAGCUUGAGUAUGUUCAAAAUAUAUCAAUUCUGAUU